AGCUCAUGGGUGUGGAUAUGCUCCUCCUUGACUCAAAGGCGACACUCAUGCCAGUAACUGUCAAUGUUACAUCCUGUACCAUCCCAACUGAGAAGUUCCAGUUUCAAAAGUAUGAACAGCUACUGGCUCUGGCUAACUCUGACGUUGAUUUCCCGGGUGAUGAGUAUCAACCUUUUAUUACGAUGAAACCAGCUUUCAGCGUCUGAUGUUAACAAUCCAAAGCAUUUUUGAUUUGGUAGCCAAUUUACUUCAUGAAAAGUUAGUACUCUUGCAUGGUGAGCCAAAGGUGAUGAUUGCAACCAACAUCUAUCCAAAAUUAGUUGGAGGUCGCUUAUUCCUGAAAGCAAUUUCAGAUUAUGCUAUCAUUUAAAUACUACAUUAACCACACAGGUUAUAUAGAGCUCAAGAAGGCUCCUCUUCAUCUUCUUCCAAGUAUGGUGGGAUUAAGAAACUUGAAUCUGUCACUCUCUCUGAGUUGAAUAGUACCAUCGCUCAGCACUUGCUAAUUUCGCACACCAGGUCAGGUUCUACAUAUUUACUUAUUGUACAAACUUUGUUAGUGGGUGAGGACCAUUCAGAUAAUGAUAUGACAUGGGCUGUUAAUCUUUCUGUGGAGUCAAACCCAAUUGUAAACAACAUUGGUCUAGAUAACACCAACAGGUGUGAUGCUUCAGCAACAAUGGAAGGCUGUUUAGAAGUGUCUGAACCAAUUCCUACGCAAACUGGUCCAGUGGUCAACACGAAGGAGGAAACAAUGGAUGGUGACAAGGAUCCAAAUCUUAAGAAACCUCGAAAUGCCUUAUCACUCCCACUAUUGGCAAAUUUUUUUCUCAAUUCCAUUUCUUCCUAAGUUUUUAAGCUUCACUCAAUAAUGCUGUUGUUUUGCAAAUUUUUAAUUAAUCAGUUCGGGUUUUCGUUAAUAAAGUAGAAUUGGUACACCUGUUAAUUUUAGUAUUUUAUUUGUGGUUAUGAAAUUUUCUUACUAACAAGAAUUUUGGUUUAGUGU
Molecule: long non-coding RNA, 1006 nt
Organism: Brassica oleracea var. oleracea
Lineage: Eukaryota; Viridiplantae; Streptophyta; Magnoliopsida; Brassicales; Brassicaceae
Exons: 5
Source: RefSeq, a predicted model, not a curated record